RNAcentral lists this ribosomal RNA (275 nucleotides) under uncultured bacterium. RNAcentral describes it as "partial 16S ribosomal RNA". It matches the Rfam family "Bacterial small subunit ribosomal RNA", at positions 399 to 691 of the family's 1533-position model. The record is from RNAcentral.
GCGUGAGUGAUGAAGGCCCUAGGGUUGUAAAGCUCUUUCGGCGGGGACGAUAAUGACGGUACCCGCAGAAGAAGCCCCGGCUAACUUCGUGCCAGCAGCCGCGGUGAUACGAAGGGGGCUAGCGUUGUUCGGAAUCACUGGGCGUAAAGCGCACGUAGGCGGACUGUUAAGUCGGAGGUGAAAUCCUGGGGCUCAACCCCAGAACUGCCUUCGAUACUGGCAAUCUAGAGUGUGGAAGAGGUUGGUGGAACUCCGAGUGUAGAGGUGAAAUUCGU